GCGGUGUUCUCAAGACUGCCAUGCUGGCUCAUCCAUACCUUGUUGGACUUGAUAAGUAUCGUAACCUAAUGAAGGAUGCCAUUCUGUGCUCUGCAAGGCCUGGGGGAGCCCCAGUGGGAAGGGAUCCAGAUGGUGCUGGGCCUGGGCCAAAAGUGAAAUGGGGGAGGACGGGUCCUUUCUCUCCUUUGUCCCUAACCUCCCCACUUCCUACUGCUGUCUGACUCAGAACCCUCAUGAAAAACCCAACUUUUUACACUGAUAUUUCCCAGAGGCCUAAUUGUGCAACAAGAAAUAAAAACACAAUUAGGGAACUGAGGUCCAGCAGGAAAUUCAUGUUACAUAAAUAAGACCUGGAGUGCAUAGGGGAGUGCCCC
RNAcentral lists this long non-coding RNA (374 nucleotides) under Homo sapiens (human). Its description in RNAcentral is "long non-coding RNA NONHSAT158032". Lineage: Eukaryota; Metazoa; Chordata; Mammalia; Primates; Hominidae. The record is from RNAcentral.